Molecule: ribosomal RNA, 154 nt
Filed under: Ceriporia griseoviolascens
Lineage: Eukaryota; Fungi; Basidiomycota; Agaricomycetes; Polyporales; Irpicaceae
Description: 5.8S ribosomal RNA
Rfam family: 5.8S ribosomal RNA
About the family: 5.8S ribosomal RNA (5.8S rRNA) is a component of the large subunit of the eukaryotic ribosome. It is transcribed by RNA polymerase I as part of the 45S precursor that also contains 18S and 28S rRNA.
Source: RNAcentral
AACUUUCAGCAACGGAUCUCUUGGCUCUCGCAUCGAUGAAGAACGCAGCGAAAUGCGAUAAGUAAUGUGAAUUGCAGAAUUCAGUGAAUCAUCGAAUCUUUGAACGCACCUUGCGCCCCUUGGUAUUCCUUGGAGCAUGCCUGUUUGAGUAUCA